GACGAACGCUGGCGGCGUGCCUAAUACAUGCAAGUUGAGCGCUGAAGGUUGGUACUUGUACCAACUGGAUGAGCAGCGAACGGGUGAGUAACGCGUGGGGAAUCUGCCUUUGAGCGGGGGACAACAUUUGGAAACGAAUGCUAAUACCGCAUAAAAACUUUAAACACAAGUUUUAAGUUUGAAAGAUGCAAUUGCCUCACUCAAAGAUGAUCCCGCGUUGUAUUAGCUAGUUGGUGAGGUAAAGGCUCACCAAGGCGAUGAUACAUAGCCGACCUGAGAGGGUGAGCGGCCACAUUGGGACUGAGACACGGCCCAAACUCCUACGGGAGGCAGCAGUAGGGAAUCUUCGGCAAUGGACGAAAGUCUGACCGAGCAACGCCGCGUGAGUGAAGAAGGUUUUCGGAUCGUAAAACUCUGUUGGUAGAGAAGAAAGUUGGUGAGAGUGGAAAGCUCAUCAAGUGACGGUAACUACCCAGAAAGGGACGGCUAACUACGUG
RNAcentral lists this ribosomal RNA (497 nucleotides) under uncultured bacterium. RNAcentral describes it as "partial 16S ribosomal RNA". It matches the Rfam family "Bacterial small subunit ribosomal RNA", at positions 28 to 507 of the family's 1533-position model. The record is from RNAcentral.